GAACUAUUUCAUUCCUUUAUUUAUGCAUGCAAGUUUGAGCUUCCCUGCCGGAAAGCCCAGUCCUAGUUAAGUCAACUGGCGUGCUACGGAAAACCCCAAUAAUAAUAAGAAACCAAAAAAAAAAAAAAACGUCCUUGCCCGUCAAGAUGCCGUCGCCGUCGACCGCGUUAGCUCGCCGACGACCAAUCGGACAAGCGCCGAAAGAAACACACACACACAGACUCAGACACCAGUUGGAGUUCGAUCGGGCCAGGGAAGCGCGGCGAUGUCGUCGGGGCAGGCGAAGGUGCCGGUGGCGGGGCGGCGGAACGUGCUGGUGACGAGCGCGCUGCCGUACGUGAACAACGUGCCGCACCUGGGCAACAUCAUCGGCUGCGUGCUCAGCGCCGACGCCUUCGCGCGCUACUGCCGCCUGCGCGGCCACAACGUGCUCUACGUCUGCGGCACCGACGAGUACGGCACCGCCACCGAAAACAGGGCCCUCGAGGAGGGAUGCUCCCCGCUCCAGAUCUGCGACAAGUACCAUGCGAUCCACAAAGAAGUGUACGAGUGGUUCAACAUCAACUUCGACCACUUCGGCCGGACAUCCACCCCCCAGCAGACAGAGAUAUGCCAAUCCAUUUUCAGCAAACUGCUGGACAACAACUGGCUCUCAGAGAACACAAUGCAGCAGCUCUACUGCGAAUCAUGCCAAAGGUUCCUGGCGGACAGGUUCGUCGUGGGCUCAUGCCCUGUGGAGGGGUGCGGCAACGACACCGCGAGGGGCGAUCAGUGCGACAGAUGCGGGAGGCUGCUGAAUUCGACCGAGCUGAUUGACCCCAGAUGCAAGGUUUGUGAGGGCAUACCGAUCGUCCGCGACACGGACCACUUGUUCUUGGAGCUUCCCUUGUUGAAGGAGCAGCUGGAGAAGUACAUCGACGAGGCCUCGGCGACCGGAUCAUGGAGCCAGAACGCAGUCCGCAUCACAAACGCCUGGUUGAAGGAAGGGCUGAAGCCUCGCUGCAUCACCAGGGAUCUGAAAUGGGGCGUCCCUGUACCACAUGAGAAGUACAAGGAUAAGGUGUUCUAUGUCUGGUUCGAUGCGCCGAUCGGAUAUAUUUCCAUCACGGCGUGCUACACGCCCGAGUGGGAAAAGUGGUGGAAGAACCCAGAGAAUGUCGAACUGUAUCAGUUUAUGGGCAAAGAUAACGUCCCAUUCCACACGGUCAUGUUCCCCUCUGCUCUACUUGGAACUGGUGAAAACUGGACUCUGAUGAAGAAUAUUAGUGUGACUGAAUAUCUCAACUAUGAAUCAGGAAAGUUCUCGAAAACUAAGGGCAUUGGAGUGUUUGGCAAUGACGCCAAAGCCACAAAUAUCCCUGCUGAUGUGUGGCGAUACUACUUGCUUAGUAACCGUCCUGAGGCAUCAGAUGCAGUGUUCACAUGGGAAGGUUUGCAGAUAAAGCAUAACAACGAGCUGAUAAACAAUUUGGGCAACUUCAUCUAUCGAGUGCUAAGCUUUAUCGCAAAACCAGAGGGAGCUGGGUACGGCUCCAUCAUACCUGAAGCACCUAAUGCUAAUACACAUCCAUUGAGUCAGUCGUUAGCAGAAACUGUUGGUAAUUUGAUUGAGCAGUAUAUUGAUGCAAUGGACAAGGUCAAACUAAAACAAGGGCUGAAGAUUGCAAUGGCCAUCUCUAGUGAGGGAAAUGCUUACCUACAAGAGAGUCAAUUUUGGAAGCUUUACAAACAAGAUCCAGCUAGUUGCGCGACUGUGAUGAAAACUUCAGCUGGACUUGUCUACCUUCUCGCUUGUUUGCUAGAGCCUUUCAUGCCGUCCUUCUCGAAAGAUGUCUUGCAACAGCUGAAUCUCUGUCCGAAAGAGCAUAUUUCUUUCGCUGAUGAAAAGGGGGAGACUGAGAAGGUGAAAAGGCCUUGGGAUCUCAUACCAUCAAACCACAGGAUUGGUAAAACUGUGCAUUUGUUCGAAGUAUUGAAUGAUGAUGCAGUGGAUAGCUUCAGGAAAACAUUUGCAGGCAGUCAGGCCGAAAGAAACGCAAGGGCUAAUUAAAGAAGCCAAUGAAGUUGUUGCCUAACUGGAAGCUGCAAAAUAUUUCUUGCAAAGUUGAUCACAAUACUUAAUCAAAUUACAUUGAGAUCCAGAAAUGUGAGUUCGAAGAAUGAAUCAACAAUGUAUAUUUUACUGCUUAUUAGUGAUGAUGCGUUCAGAAAAUGUAGAUAAACUGAACUACAUGCUGUAGUACUUGGGAGUUGGAGAUGCCUAAAUUGAUGUACAUGUGCUGAUCACCUUGGGAGCUACAUUUUUAGUUUUAAGUAUGAUGUACAUAGUCAAAAAAUAAAGGAAACUCUUACUUUUCUAUCUAA
This is an RNA transcript of Hordeum vulgare subsp. vulgare (domesticated barley), 2364 nucleotides long. It is a transcript of the gene named probable methionine--tRNA ligase, with no coding region annotated. The transcript has 13 exons. NCBI's taxonomy places the organism in Eukaryota, Viridiplantae, Streptophyta, Magnoliopsida, Poales, Poaceae. The record is from RefSeq and is a predicted model, not a curated record.